CACACAUCAUAUUCAGUCUCUUAAGCAAUCAAAUGAAGCACUAUGUCAUGCUAAAUAAAGUUUAGGGUCAACCACUGAUUUAAUCAUAUGGUAUAUCACUCCUAGAGGUAACUAAAACGUAAGGAAUAAUUGAGCUUAUGGUAACUGGAUUGUUCAUUGGAAGAUACUGGACUGUUCAUGCUAAUGGUAACUGCAGCGCGUGCAAUUAUUUUGGUACAUUCAGGAUUAACAAGUGCCAAUUUGGUUGUCUCCAACCGACUCAACAAUGGUAUCAUGUUCCUCGGUAUUGGCUCAAGCCCUACCAAAAUUUGUUGGUGGUAUUUGAGGAGCUUGCUGGCGAUGGUACAAAGAUUGAUCUUCUGAAAGUCACCCACAUGUUGAGAAAUGGCAGACCAAGAACCGAGGCAAACUGAAGGAGCAAAAGAAGCCUAAACUUCGUCUAGAGUGUACAAACGAGCAAUCCAUUUCUACUAUUAAAUUUUCAAGCUUCAGUACUCCACCUAGAAGCUAUGGGAACUGUAACCAUGGUACCUGUCACGCUCGAAACUCUACCGAUGUGCUGAAUAAGGUACCCUCACAGUAGUGUCACGCUGCUACUGCUUUGCUUCAGUUCAGGGUCAAAAGUUUUUCCAUUUACCCAAGUUCAAGAUCAAUAAAACCUUGGACAAACUUGCAGUAUUGCUAGCUAUUUUGCUAUGUUGUUUACUUGGUUGCCCGAAUUGUGUAGUGCUUCUAGUUUAUUACCUUGCAGUACUGCAUGCAUAUAUUUUGUUGGCUGCCUAGAUUAUUAGAUAUGAGCCAUUUUGAACUAAUGUUCAUGAUUAGGCUUGUGUACACGAGACGAUGAUGGAUUAUUUUCAGAAUGAUUUUGGAU
Rosa rugosa (rugosa rose) is the source of this 874-nucleotide long non-coding RNA. RefSeq lists it as uncharacterized. Lineage: Eukaryota; Viridiplantae; Streptophyta; Magnoliopsida; Rosales; Rosaceae. The record is from RefSeq and is a predicted model, not a curated record. The transcript has 3 exons.